Molecule: non-coding RNA, 263 nt
Organism: Pelobates cultripes (western spadefoot toad)
Lineage: Eukaryota; Metazoa; Chordata; Amphibia; Anura; Pelobatidae
Source: the annotation of a GenBank genome assembly
GUUACAGUGAUUAUGGUAGAUGGCCAUAUGGAGAGUGUUACAGUGAUUAUGGUAGAUGGCCAUAGGGAGAGUGUUACAGUAAUUAUGGUAGAUGGCCAUAGGGAGAGUGUUACAGUGAUUAUGGUAGCCAUAGGGAGAGUGUUACAGUGAUUAUGGUAGAUGGCCAUAUGGAGAGUGUUACAGUGAUUAUGGUAGCCAUAGGGAGAGUGUUACAGUGAUUAUGGUAGAUGGCCAUAUGGAGAGUGUUACAGUGAUUAUGGUAG